This 198-nucleotide ribosomal RNA is filed under the name uncultured bacterium. RNAcentral describes it as "partial 16S ribosomal RNA". It matches the Rfam family "Bacterial small subunit ribosomal RNA", at positions 328 to 539 of the family's 1533-position model. The record is from RNAcentral.
ACGCUCGACACCUACGGGAGACAGCAGUGGGGAAUAUUGCACAAUGGGGGAAACCCUGAUGCAGCGACGCCGCGUGAGCGAAGAAGUAUUUCGGUAUGUAAAGCUCUAUCAGCAGGGAAGAAAGUGACGGUACCUGACUAAGAAGCACCGGCUAAAUACGUGUCAGCAGCCGCGGUAAUCUGAGCGGGCUGGCAAGGC